Papaver somniferum (opium poppy) is the source of this 1545-nucleotide RNA transcript. It is a transcript of the gene named probable thiol methyltransferase 2, with no coding region annotated. Lineage: Eukaryota; Viridiplantae; Streptophyta; Magnoliopsida; Ranunculales; Papaveraceae. The transcript has 9 exons. The record is from RefSeq and is a predicted model, not a curated record.
GGAUUGAAGUAACAUAGGAUCCUUUUGUGUGUGGCAUCAAACCGCUCUGUGUUUGACACCUAACGGGGAAAGGAGUGGGGAAAGACCAGCAUUUUCGCAUUCUCUGUAUCACUGUAUGUAAAUCUUUUCUGUUUUAUUCUCUAAAAAUCUUUCUCCCAUUUUAAAUGUUCUCAGUCUCCUUGCGUCUUCGUCCCCAGAUUCAUCGACUAUCCAUUAAUUUGCGAUCCAAGUCGGGCCUUUUCCCUGUAAAUAAACCCUUCUUCUCGAUGAUGACAACAACAAACCAAAAAAUGGAAGGAAAAAGAGGAGAAGAAAAUCAUUCAAAAAAUUCUACAUUAUCAAGUUCCAAAGUGGAGAAAAUGCAGGAUAUCUUAGAUGAAGACUCAACAGGUGGUUGGGACAAAUGCUGGGAGCAAGGAUUGACACCAUGGGAUUUGGGUCAGCCAACGCCUGUACUGCUACAACUUCUUGACAAGGAAACCCUUCCCAAAGGCAGAGUUCUAGUCCCUGGAUGUGGGGCUGGACACGACGUGAUUGCAAUUGCAAAUCCUGAACGCUAUGUUGUAGGCCUGGAAUUAUCCGAAAAUGCCAUUAAGAGAGCAAGAGAGGUAUCUUCGUUAUCACCAAAUGCAAAAUAUUUUGAGUUUAUAGAGACGGACUUCUUCACUUGGCGUCCACCUGUGUUAUUUGAUCUCAUAUUUGAUUAUACGUUUUUCUGUGCAAUUGAACCUCGCAUUAGAGCAUCUUGGGGAACACGAAUACAUGAGCUGUUGAAACCAGAUGGGGAGCUCAUAACUCUAAUGUUUCCUACUGAUGAUCGUGAUGGAGGUCCACCUUAUAAAGUCUCUGUGGCUGAUUAUGAAAAGGUUUUGCAUCCCCGGGGAUUCAAGGCGACUUCUAUAAUAGAUAACGAGCUAGCUGUAGGACGACGAAGGGGAUGCGAGAAGCUUGGGAGAUGGAAGAGGUUUCUAAAUCAUUCUCAAUUAUGAAUAAUCAAAAGAGAAGAAGCUAGUACUAGUGCCUAGUAACAUUUCAUCUUUCUUAGCUCAUAAACACAGGCAGAGAUUAGUGACAAUCAAAAUGACAACCAUCCUCUGAUGAUACAAUCCCAUUUAGAGCAAUAGCAUAUUCCUUUUUAUACAGCAUGUAAUAUACUAACUUAGGUUGUGGUCGAAUCAGUGGUGUAUCAAUCCAAUGGCUGCGAUAUCUGCGCGAAAAUGCCAGCAGGAAAACUUUGUAUUGUUUGUUCCUUCACCGAAGCUGCUACAGCAGGGAUAAAAGGACUCGGACAAAUAUGGGACAAUGGCCCCCCUGGGACCAUAGAUAGCAGGGGGUGCUGUUGUGUGCAUCCUUGGAUGAGCGCCACGUUGCUUUCCCUCUCCCUUCCUUCAUGUCCCAUAUCUGGACUAUCUUUUUUGCCUUUGCUUUUGUCCCAUGUACAGCGUUUUCCAAUUUUUCCCAAAUGACACUGCAAAGUGUGAAAUAGCUCAAAACUGUAGUGUCCUAGGCAAAAAUUUUGUAAUGAAAAAUGGAAAAAUUGUGCCA